UUGUACUCAAAAGUUUUAGUCGUUUAACUCAGCAGUAAACUUUUUUUGACGUCGUUUUUAGGGUAUUGAUGUUGUUUUCGUAGGGUGAAACGGAAUUGGAAUCUCUUCAGGCUGUGUUUGGUUGGGGGGAAUGAAAAGGAAAAGCCAUUCUUUGCUCGACCACCGAACUCCAGCCAUUGACCAUCGACGCCAUGGCUUCGAAGCUCCCGAACCAACUCCGAGCUCUCUACGCAUCCACCACCCGUCACCGGCUUCUCUCUCCUCGAUUCCCGAACCCUAACGAAGCUUUCCGAGACCUCCUUCUCGGUUCCAAUGGCAGACUCUUCUCGGACGAAAGAAAUUUGAAUUUCUAAUUUCUAAUUUCCAAUUUUCCAAAUCGAAAGAAAGAUGGCUGAAGAAUCGACGCGGUCCCCCGUCAGGCUUAUGAAUUUCGUGUCGGAGGAGCAGUUGGAUGAAGCAAAGAGAAGGAAAGGCGAACGCGUCAAAGAUGGCACUGCCCAAAGGGAUAGACCCCUUUACGAGAUUUUAACGGAAAAUAAAGACAAGAAGGACGCUAAAUUCAACGAACGCUUCAAGCACAG
Morus notabilis is the source of this 581-nucleotide long non-coding RNA. RefSeq lists it as uncharacterized. The record is from RefSeq and is a predicted model, not a curated record. Lineage: Eukaryota; Viridiplantae; Streptophyta; Magnoliopsida; Rosales; Moraceae. The transcript has 3 exons.